This 1299-nucleotide ribosomal RNA is filed under the name uncultured bacterium. RNAcentral describes it as "partial 16S ribosomal RNA". It matches the Rfam family "Bacterial small subunit ribosomal RNA", at positions 80 to 1399 of the family's 1533-position model. The record is from RNAcentral.
UUGAAUAUUUGCCUAGUGGCGGAUGGGUGAGUAACGCGUGGGCAACCUACCCUGUACAGGGGGAUAACAAUGGGAAACCAUUGCUAAUACCCCAUAAUACCUUUUAAGGGCAUCCUUGAAAGGUCAAAGAAUUUCGGUAUAGGAUGGGCCCGCGUCUGAUUAGCUAGUUGGUGGGGUAAUGGCCUACCAAAGCAACGAUCAGUAGCCGGCCUGAGAGGGUGAACGGCCACACUGGAACUGAGACACGGUCCAGACUCCUACGGGAGGCAGCAGUGGGGAAUAUUGCACAAUGGGGGAAACCCUGAUGCAGCAACGCCGCGUGAGCGAUGAAGGCUUUCGAGUCGUAAAGCUCUGUCCUAAGGGAAGAUAAUGACGGUACCUUAGGAGGAAGCCCCGGCUAACUACGUGCCAGCAGCCGCGGUAAUACGUAGGGGGCAAGCGUUGUCCGGAAUUAUUGGGCGUAAAGGGUGCGUAGGCGGCCUUAUGGGUCAGAGGUUAAAUACUACGGCUUAACCGUAGUAUGCCUUUGAAACUAUAGGGCUUGAGUGCAGGAGAGGAGAGUGGAAUUCCUAGUGUAGCGGUGAAAUGCGUAGAUAUUAGGAGGAAUACCAGUGGCGAAGGCGACUCUCUGGACUGCAACUGACGCUAAGGCACGAAAGCGUGGGUAGCGAACAGGAUUAGAUACCCUGGUAGUCCACGCUGUAAACGAUGAGAGUUAGGUGUUGGGGGUCACACCUUGGUGACGCAGUUAAUGCAGUAAGCCACUCCGUCUUGGGAGUACGUUGGCAAGAAUAAAACUCAAAGGAAUGGUCGGGGAUCCGCCCAAGCAGUGGUGCAUGUGGUUUAAUUCGAAGCAACUCGAAGAACAAUACAUGGAUCUGACAUCCCUGCGGUCGUCUUUUAAUCGAGAUGUUCCCAUCGGGGACAGAGGAGACAGGCGGUGCAUGGUUGUGGUCAGUUCGGGUGGAGUGAUGGCGGGGUAAGUCUCGCAACGAGCGCAACCCUCGUCUUUAGUUCCCAUCACGUAAAGUUGGGCACUAUAAAGAGACUCCCAAUGUAAACAGGGAGGAAGGAGGGGAUGAUGUCACAUCAUCAUGCCCAUUCAGUACAGGGGCACACACGUGAUACAAUGGGAGAUACAACGGGCAGCUAAGGAGCAAUCCGGAGCAAAUCGCACAAAAUUGGUCCCAGUUGCGACUGUGGGCCGAAAUUCGUCCACAAGAAGUGGGAGUUGUUAGUAAUCGCGAAUCAGCAUGUAGCGGUGAAUGCGUUCCCGUCUUUAGCACAAAACGCCCUUCA